AAAAAGGGCUUCUGUCAUGAGUGGCACACAAAGUGCAACUUGAUUGCUCUGCAUGCGGAAUCAACAUCAAGAGACUUCGGAAGCAUAAUUUCUCGGUAACUGGGCAGCUAGUGAUCGUUGGUCCCCAUGUGUGU
Molecule: small nuclear RNA, 134 nt
Organism: Peromyscus eremicus (cactus mouse)
Lineage: Eukaryota; Metazoa; Chordata; Mammalia; Rodentia; Cricetidae
Product: U11 spliceosomal RNA
Exons: 1
Source: RefSeq, a predicted model, not a curated record